GCAAGUCGAGCGGAAAGGCCCCUUCGGGGGUACUCGAGCGGCGAACGGGUGAGUAACACGUGAGCAACCUGCCCCUGACUCUGGGAUAAGCCCGGGAAACUGGGUCUAAUACCGGAUGUGACCAGCCUCCGCAUGGAGUGCUGGUGGAAAGUUUUUCGGUUGGGGAUGGGCUCGCGGCCUAUCAGCUUGUUGGUGGGGUGAUGGCCUACCAAGGCGACGACGGGUAACCGGCCUGAGAGGGCGACCGGUCACACUGGGACUGAAACACGGCCCAGACUCCUACGGGAGGCAGCAGUGGGGAAUAUUGCGCAAUGGGCGGAAGCCUGACGCAGCGACGCCGCGUGAGGGAUGACGGCCUUCGGGUUGUAAACCUCUUUCAGCAGGGACGAAGCUAACGUGACGGUACCUGCAGAAGAAGCGCCGGCUAACUACGUGCCAGCAGG
This 443-nucleotide ribosomal RNA is filed under the name Actinomadura sp. YN-7-7. Its description in RNAcentral is "bacterial SSU rRNA". It matches the Rfam family "Bacterial small subunit ribosomal RNA", at positions 57 to 515 of the family's 1533-position model. The record is from RNAcentral. Lineage: Bacteria; Bacillati; Actinomycetota; Actinomycetes; Streptosporangiales; Thermomonosporaceae.